Molecule: long non-coding RNA, 222 nt
Filed under: Ananas comosus (pineapple)
Lineage: Eukaryota; Viridiplantae; Streptophyta; Magnoliopsida; Poales; Bromeliaceae
Description: long non-coding RNA (ACOM_LNC034028)
Source: RNAcentral
AAAUGUUUACAAUGAAUGUUCAUUAUGAUUUAGGUUCAGAUGUAUAAAUUUGGAAUGACAAAGAUUUGAUAAAAAGCAAAUUACCACUUGAUCUGAUGGAGAGCACAACUAAAAGGUCCUUAGUUGUGGACAUAUAGAUGUUCCAUCUCUAUACAUAACAAAUUUAAGAUAUAGCACCCAAAGCAAAGCCUACCAUAUAGAAGUGGACAUAUAGAUAUGGCA